Molecule: unclassified non-coding RNA, 952 nt
Filed under: Hevea brasiliensis (rubber tree)
Lineage: Eukaryota; Viridiplantae; Streptophyta; Magnoliopsida; Malpighiales; Euphorbiaceae
Source: RNAcentral
GUAACAUUCAACUGUCAAGGGUUUCCAGAACGGGCAAACGAGAGCGAUGUCCUGAUUAUUGAGCAUUCAAGAAAAGUUCAAAAUAAAAAUGUAUGGCACAUAAACCAGUUGGAGUUAUACGAAGAUUAAACCCCUUUUCUAGCAAACUAAAGAAAUAAAUACACCCGUUGCAGUAACCAGCUUGGUUUGUUCUUAUUAACUAAUGAUUCAAGCUUUUGUGUCAACAAACUCCAGUUGGACCAAUAAAAAGGAUUAUAUAGAAAUAACACACAGAGGAGAAUGAGUGAGCACAUUCAGUUUUGGAUCCGGACAUGGGUUUGAUCAGUACAAAUAGACCACUGAAGAUUCUACUUUGAUUGUGAUUCACCUGAUGCAAUUGCAGGUUCAUCUUUCUUUGAAGUCUCCAAUUUGCCAGAAGUAACACUCUCUAGCGUAUUAUAAAACUCCUCAGGAAGAGGACCAGGACGAUGAAGGGGAACGUGCUUGGGCACUGGAGCAUCAUUUUCUAUAACUUCACACUCAUAAUCAUCGGGAAUACCCCAAGGUUUCCACUCGUUCAUGUGGCCGAUGAGCUUAAGCUCAUCCUGAGCUUCCUCAAUUAACUCUUCAACCUGGCCACAACCAAGCCGCUUCUCGAUCAUUUCCGAAUCUGCUUCCUCCUGACAGACACUAAGACGGUGGCGCGUAAAGCUUUCCACGGCUUUCCGGUAUCCCUCGUCCUCCGGCACAGCCUUGAUCUCCUCUAGAGUUUUCCUGUAAAGAUUAAUCAGAACUUCCCUCGCAUUUGGCACAACAUCAAGACCUACGAUCCCCGUCGUCUCCUUCACUUUCGCCAUCAUCACCAAUGGCCUCGCUAUUCUUCGGAGAAACAUUUUUCCGACUCGUCGGUCGACUGUAACUCUGAGACCCGCUCGGAGCUCUGAAGAAGGGAAAUCCUCAACCUUCAGCUGAU